This 292-nucleotide ribosomal RNA is filed under the name uncultured bacterium. RNAcentral's name for it is "partial 16S ribosomal RNA". It matches the Rfam family "Bacterial small subunit ribosomal RNA", at positions 505 to 796 of the family's 1533-position model. The record is from RNAcentral.
GUGCCAGCCGCCGCGGUAAUACGAAGGGGGCUAGCGUUGUUCGGAAUUACUGGGCGUAAAGCGUAUGCAGGCGGACUUUUAAGUCGGGGGUGAAAUCCCGAGGCUCAACCUCGGAACUGCCUUCGAUACUGGAAGUCUUGAGUCCGGGAGAGGUGAGUGGAACUCCGAGUGUAGAGGUGAAAUUCGUAGAUAUUCGGAAGAACACCAGUGGCGAAGGCGGCUCACUGGCCCGGUACUGACGCUGAGAUACGAAAGCGUGGGGAGCAAACAGGAUUAGAUACCCCAGUAGUCC